UACGUAGGUGACAAGCGUUGUCCGGAUUUACUGGGCGUAAAGAGCGCGCAGGCGGUCGAUCAAGUCGAGUGUGAAAGCCCCCGGCUCAACUGGGGAGGGUCAUUCGAAACUGGUCGACUCGAAGGCAGGAGAGGGUAGUGGAAUUCCCGGUGUAGUGGUGAAAUGCGUAGAUAUCGGGAGGAACACCAGUGGCGAAGGCGGCGAUCUGGGUCGAUACUGACGCUGAGGUGCGAAAGCGUGGGGAGCAAACAGG
RNAcentral lists this ribosomal RNA (253 nucleotides) under uncultured bacterium. Its description in RNAcentral is "partial 16S ribosomal RNA". It matches the Rfam family "Bacterial small subunit ribosomal RNA", at positions 524 to 776 of the family's 1533-position model. The record is from RNAcentral.